Molecule: ribosomal RNA, 523 nt
Filed under: uncultured soil bacterium
Lineage: Bacteria
Description: bacterial SSU rRNA
Rfam family: Bacterial small subunit ribosomal RNA
Source: RNAcentral
AGAGUUUGAUCCUGGCUCAGAUUGAACGCUGGCGGCAGGCCUAACACAUGCAAGUCGAGCGGUAGAGAGAAGCUUGCUUCUCUUGAGAGCGGCGGACGGGUGAGUAAUGCCUAGGAAUCUGCCUAGUGGUGGGGGAUAACGUUCGGAAACGGACGCUAAUACCGCAUACGUCCUACGGGAGAAAGCGGGGGAUCUUCGGACCUCGCGCCAUUAGAUGAGCCUAGGUCGGAUUAGCUAGUUGGUGAGGUAAUGGCUCACCAAGGCGACGAUCCGUAACUGGUCUGAGAGGAUGAUCAGUCACACUGGAACUGAGACACGGUCCAGACUCCUACGGGAGGCAGCAGUGGGGAAUAUUGGACAAUGGGCGAAAGCCUGAUCCAGCCAUGCCGCGUGUGUGAAGAAGGUCUUCGGAUUGUAAAGCACUUUAAGUUGGGAGGAAGGGCAGUAACCUAAUACGUUAUUGUUUUGACGUUACCGACAGAAUAAGCACCGGCUAACUUCGUGCCAGCCGCCGCGGUAAUUC